Molecule: ribosomal RNA, 253 nt
Filed under: uncultured bacterium
Lineage: Bacteria
Description: partial 16S ribosomal RNA
Rfam family: Bacterial small subunit ribosomal RNA
Source: RNAcentral
UACGUAGGCAGCAAGCGAUGUUCGGGAUUACUGGGCGUAAAGGGUGCGUAGGCGGUUGGUUAAGUUUGGUGUGAAAUCUCCCGGCUUAACUGGGAGGGUGCGCCGAAAACUGGCUGGCUAGAGUGUGGGAGAGGGAAGUGGAAUUCCUGGUGUAGCGGUGAAAUGCGUAGAUAUCAGGAGGAACACCUGAGGUGUAGACGGCUUCCUGGACCAUUACUGACGCUGAGGCACGAAAGCGUGGGGAGCAAACAGG